Molecule: long non-coding RNA, 13848 nt
Filed under: Elaeis guineensis (African oil palm)
Lineage: Eukaryota; Viridiplantae; Streptophyta; Magnoliopsida; Arecales; Arecaceae
Description: long non-coding RNA (EGUI_LNC000591)
Source: RNAcentral
UCUGCCAUCUUCUUCAUUAUAACUAUUCAUGACACAUUUUGUCGCACAUCACCCAAAUAGUUGAAAAUUAUUUUGUUUACCGCACAUAACUACAUCCAGCCAUAUGAGUGAGUCAACACAAAAAUCUUAAAUGAGGGCUUUGUGACGACAUUUACAGAAUAUAUCCAUGUUCUUUCAAUCACAGAAGCCAGUUAUUUCUAAUCAAUCUUCACCUGAAUUAUGCUUGCUUAAUAGCUGAAGACUCGAUAGUUGGAUGCACAAUAACACAAAUAUGAAAAGCAGCCACUAAGAUUGGAAAUACAGAGAACAUGAAUAGGUCUGGAAGUGUAAAGAUGAAAAAUUACACAUUUAUGGGUAAAAAUGUCCUUACCAAGAUGCGCAAGCCGAUUAACCCAUCCAGGAAUUGGUCUCCCUGUCAAUCUCAAGCAAAUAUCAUCUGUAAAGUGAUUGCAGUUUUUGGAGAUGACUUGAUAAGUAUCACCAUGGAAAUCUUCAGCAAUAUCUUCCAUGAAUGCCCGAAAUUCCGAGGAACUCAUGUUUACAUGACCCAGUGGAAUUGAGCAUCUGUAGACAAAACCUGGGCAGCGCCUUGGUUCCACCUCAAACACUCCACUUGUUGGGUAAUCAUGGGCUCCAAACCCAUACUCCGAACCAUGUACUGUUCACAUUUAUCAAUAUUACAAACAUAUAUAACCCUCAUAAACAAUAUGAAACCAUCGGCAUAAUCACUACCAUCACCAUCAACUAAAAUAACUUGUUUUUCAAUGAUAUGACUCUACAGGACUCAAAGGGAGAUGUGUUUAUAAAAUGUGAAAUGUUGAAGCGCAGACUAUUCACAAACAGUUGGAAGGUCCACCCAAUGAACUUAAAUAGUUAAAUGUUAGGUCACACUGGCCAAAAAAAAGCACGAAAAAAAAAAUCUCAGCCUUUCUUAUGGCACUAACUGAUAACAAGAGAAACCACUACAAUCAAAAUCCACGGGAAUAAGGUCAGCCUGUGCAUGCAUCAAUCGUGCAACACUUGCAGCUGCCCACCAACAAUCCUUACAUCAAAAUUGAAGCAAGCACUACACAGCUGUUUGUUUAAACAAAGGAACUGCCAGGCUAGGCUACGAAGACUGGUUUUCACUAUAAACCCUGCAGUUGGAUCACUGAGGAACCCAGGGAGAAGCCAUCGAAUAUAAACUAGAUACAUACAUACAGAUGUAUCUUGUUAUUUCUGAUCGAUCAUAUGGUCUAAAGUGAUUCCUUGAAUUUGCAGGUAAGCUGAAAUUGGAUCCAAAACUUCCUGUUUUCAACAAUAACAGAUAGGCUCCUUAUCAAGAUUCAGAAACAAGCUACAUCUGUCAAUACAAAGCAAUGCAAAGAAUUUCUUGUGAAUGUUAGUGUAUCACGGAUUGAUCUUAGGUGCAAGGGCUGCCGGAUAUCUUUUCCUUCAGUCCAGGAUCAUAGUGUUGUAGGAAAGUUUUCAGCAAUUUGAAAGGACAUCUUUGUCGAUAUUAUUGACAUAACCUAAACAGUAUAAAGGACAACAGUCAAUCACAAAUAUAUGUUAUUCUUUUUCAACCUUGAACAAAUAAAGAAGAAUUCUGCAAUGGACCCUUUUAGAUAUUUAAUUAAUUCAUAUAAUGCAAGGAUCAAUCAUUCACUCAUUUUAUCUCUUCUCUCCCAUUUUGCACUUUUUUCUUUUAACCCAAAAAAAAGACACACCCAUGAUCAGCUACUAACCUAAUUUCAACUCUCUAAAUAUCGGCGCUGCAAGUUCAGCUAAGUUUAGACACAAGAGGAAUCAAACCUGUGAGGCCAGUUGGCAGGUAGAGAAAUCCAUCUUAUUGGCAAUGGUAAGUUAUACAACCAAAGAACAAUAUUCCAAAAUUCCACUAGACAUAGAGAUGGACUGAAUGGAGGAGGAAGAUAAUAAUUUCUGGUAUACAAAGCUGAAUUCAGCUCUAUCUCAUUAUAGAACAUGGAUCCCCAGAAGAAUGACAAAGGCCAUUGCAAAAUCACCAGAAAUGAUCCACUUUCAAACGACCUAUUCUAACUAAUUUUGGAAUUAGGGCAACUACAAGUAAUGUCAAACCUGUUAUACAUCGUUAAUCAAUUCCCUAACAGCUCAACCUUUUGCCUUCAACUUGUUAAUUAACAUGUUUAAUCCUGACUAAAGCUCCGUCUCCCAACCUUGACACUCAAACUAUAUCCAGAUCUAACUUCACAUCAGUAUAAUACUUCUAGCACAAUAAUUUGAGGAAAACCACUAAAUCAGCCUGUGAAUCAUAAAAAUAAUCGAUCCGUAUCACCCUUUUUAUCAAUAUAACCACCAAAACACAAAUUAGACAUUUUUUUGCAGGGAGAAAUUAAAAAGAAACAUGCAAUAUAUAGCUUUUUUAUAAAAAAAGGAACAUCAAAUUUUCAGGUUCUCGUGAACAGAGAUUCCACGGAUUUCACCAAAAAGUGCCAGAACACAUAAUUGGAAGCAAAAAUAUCGACACAUUUGCUCUAAGGAAACGAACAUUCGUACUAAUUCAUUCAAUUUAUCUUCAAAAACAGUAUGUUUUACCUUCGAUUCCCGAAUGAAAGAUUCCAAUACCAAACCAAAACAUGUAAUCGUUCAACGGAGUGAGAUCAUAAACGUUCAGGAUCACGGGACUCCCAACGCUACUCCCAUCCGAGGUAGAGGAGCUCGAAGAAUGCGCGGAACCCAUAAACCCUUGAGAGAACUCGGGAGCCCUCGAUUGGAAGGCUAGGGCUCCUCUAGGGUUUAGACCGCCGGUCGCAGGGAAGGAGCUGAUUGGGGAGGACAACAACCUCAAAAAUGGGGGCCGCGGGUGCACGAUACUUAAGGUGGGUAGGGGACGGGACCCCGACAGGACAGUCCUCGUCUGACGUGUAUAAGCUUGAGUAAGAUUAGACACCACCUAGUGGACAACAAUGAUAUGGGGCGGACACUAAUCACACCAUAGGCCAUCACAGGCUUAACUCAACGACGCAGUUUCUUUUUUAACAUCUUAAAAAAAAUAAAAAUUAAAUAAAAAUAAUAUUUUUUUAUUAAUAAAAUUUAUUAAUUUUAUAAUUAAAAUAAUAAAAAAAUAAAAUAUACAUCUAAAAAAUUUUUCAUUACUGUUUAUAUUCUCUUUAUUUCUUAUUAAGCCUCUCAAUUCAUUAUCUUUCUUAUCAAGUCAUGUCUCUCAUUCGUAAGAUGUUCCUUUUAUUUUUUUUUUUUUCAAAUCCCACGCAUUAUUUCUUCUAUCCAUGAGUCCUUCCUCAAGUUUCUUUCUUCUCUUUCUAAAUUUUUUUUUUUUUAAAUCUCUACAUCUAAAAGUUCAUGAAAACUGUGUAUCAUUUUAUUGAAAGAUGUGUAUUGAGAUGUUAGAUAAAUAUUUUACUAGAUGCGUAUCAACAGAGUAUAUACUAUGUAUUGAUGAAUAUUAAGUUCAAUAAAUUAUGUAUCAAUUUAUUUAUAGGUGUGUAUUAGAUCGUUGUCAGUGUGUGUAUCAAAAAAAUUUAUAGUAUGUAUCAGUAAACCAUCUAAUGUGUAUCAUUUUGUUAUGUGUUGUAUACUAAUAAGUACUAUAUUCUAAAAAUUAUAUAUUACUUUACUUACAUAUAUAUAUUGAAAUAUCGAAUGAAUAUUUUGCUAGAUAUGUAUCAACAGAUUAUAUAAUGUGUACUGAUUAAUACUAAGUUUAGUAAACUAUGUAUCAAUUUAGCUAUAAAUAUGUAUUAGACCAUUGCUGAGUGUAUAUAAAAAAAACUUACAAUAUAUGUCACCUGAUUAUAAACUAUAUAUUAGUGAUCUCCUCAUUCUGAAAAUUAUAUAUCAAUUUAUUUAUUGAUAUAUAUUGAUUUGUUUGAUGAUUAAUUUAUUCAGUGUGUAUCAUAUGGUCAUAUAGCACAUAUCGCUUAAAAAAUGUAUUGAAAAUGAGAAAGAAAAAGAAUGUCAUUUUUUUAAUCAUAAGAUUAAUAACUCUAUUAGCAAAAAAAUAUUUUUGAUUUUUAAAUUUAUUUCUUAAAAUUAAUAAUUAAAAAAAUAUGAUAAAUUAUAAAAUCCAUCCCACAUGAUAUUUUAAAAUAUUUGCCCCAUAUAAUUUUUAUUUCUACUCGUGACUCGUCAAUUAUUGAUUAGAUUUAUUUUAGUGCAUGGAUUUUGAAUUAUCCAAUAUAAAAUUAUCGUGCUGCUCGUCAUUCAAAAUUUCAAAGCAUGAUUGAAAAAUUUACAUGAAAAUUUAUAACUAUACAAAAAAAAAGUUUAUAACUAAUCAUUACAAGCUAUUUUGAAUUUAACAUUAACUAUUUUUUUUUAAAUAAUAUAAUAUUUUUUUUGAUUGUUCAAAAUCUACGUAAUAGAACAAUUUUAGCCAAUAACUUUUUCAAAUCCGCAUCCUAAAUAGCAGAUAUUGGUUUGAUCUGUCCACAAUAAUUAAAAAUAAUUUUUAUAAAUAACAGAUUUUAUUUAUAAAAAGGAUCAGCUACUUAUGCUGGCUGGCCAUGACAAAAAAAGAGUUUUUUCUUGAGCAUGAGGUGAUUCAAAGAUGAAUAUGAAUGUUGAGACGCAUGCUCAUUGCUCAACAAAUAAUAGUAGUUAUUCAGCCCAUUUGUUUAGCGGUGACCCCUAGCCAAAUUUCUUGUCAUAGAAUUGCACCAAGCGAGUUGGGUUGGUGAACCAGCAAAGUGAAGCCCAAGCCCAACUCAUCUUUAAUAGUAGCAGCAGUAAUUGGGUUGAGCCAAACCAACAAAACAAUCUACCAAUCCGAGUAUGAUCUAUUUAUUAAAUAGAUCAAAAUGUUAGAUCCAACUUUAUCAUUUUAUUAUAUAAAUAAUCCAAACUAACCCACAAUUAAUUGAAUGAUGUUAAAUGAUUUAAACAGAUUAAGUAUAGCCAUAUCUAUUAUUGUUCGGAGAUCCCAACAUGAAAAUGAUGUCCUUGGUCUUGCUGUUCUUCCAUCGCAACUAGGGCUAAGUAAAUAACUGAAAUUCAAAAAAAUUCAUCUAAUUCAAUCCAAUAAACAUCAAUUUCGAUCAGUUGAAAGAUAUAAAUCGAAUGGAAUCAGAUUAAGAUCGAUAAAAAAUCAAUUAUUUAUGGUCGAAUUUGAUUCAUAUACUUCUAAACUGUAUGAAAUCAAAUCCAACUGAUGUAGUAUUUCAUAAAUUCGCUUUCAUUUCGGGACAACGUUAUUUAGAUUUCAAUACUUCAUUCUAAAAAACACCGCAUCACCUAUUUAGAUUUAUGAGAAUAUUAAUACUGAAUUGUUGAUGAAAGCACAUCAAUUUGAGACAAUUCUAAAAUAAAAGCUUUCAGAUGUAGUUGUUUUCAGAUGAGUAAAUAUUUAUUUUUUUAUUUUAUUUUAUUUGUAUAAGUUUCAAAAUAAAUUCAAAAUUUGUACUUCUAAGAUUUAGAUCUUUUUAGUAUUAAAUUGAUAAAAAAAAAUUAAAUGAGCUAAUAUGGGAUUUAAAAUCAAUAUUGUAUUCAUAUUGAAGUCCAAAUCGAUACAACUCAUCUGAAUCUACUAUAAAUCGUUCACUUUGAUUUCAAAUGAUUUAUAUAUAAUAAACAAUCGAUAAUGGAUUAAAUUUUUUUUAACCUGAUUGAGUUUGGUCGGAUAAAAUUUUUUUCUCAAUCCGAUGAAAUUCGAUCUAUAGCCUUCACUGCAACUAUAAUGGAAAGGCUAUCUUUUAUCAAAAAAUUGUGCCAUUUAGAGGUGUUUAAAUUGGGAAUUUGGAGCUACCCUUAUCAAAGAAAAGAUUUUUUAAAAAAAAAAAGAAGGAUUGGAAAUUACCCGAGGGUUGACUGGUUGGGCGGGAUUUGAUACUUUAUCUCGAUAAUAUUUAAACCAAGCUGUCACAUAGCUAUGAAUAUAUACAUAUAUUUACGCGUUCAGAAAUCUAGGUGCGGUAUAUAGUCGUCGGCAGAAACAAAUGUGCCUCCGUCAACUUUCAACGGCGUUGGGCUCGCAUGCUUCCAAAUCGUUAUUCAGGUCGGGUCAGAAAUGUCAAGCUCAAAGUCACUCAAUCCAACGGCCAUCUGCAUCAACUCAAGCAAAACAUGGGCCCAGGACAGUUUGGCGGGCCCCACCACCAUAUGGCUAAUCUAGAAGGUAGAAAACCCGGGAGCUCGUUAACUAUGGGCGCGGCCAUCUGGUGGAAAAUAAGUGCUCCACUUGUUCUAGAAAGCAUGAUCCCCGCCUCCCAACGCAGCCAGGUUUCCCUUUAUCAUCUCAAUGCCCUGCCCCUGGGGUCCUUUUUCCACCUCAAUAACGACACCGCCCCUCCCUGGAAGCCCGAUGUUUCUCGGAAGAGCUGAGAACUUGAAUCAAGUCCCUCCGUGGGCGGGAGUGGAGACGCACAUGCGCGCAGACACGGGCGCAGACUGACAAAAUAAAAUUAUCGGCCACCGCUCCUACUCCUUCCAUCGAUAAAAUAAUGGCUGUUAUAACUUUCAUUAUUAUUUUUUUAAUAAUGGAUGGCCCGAAGGCUAUGCCAUUGCAUAUAAAGUAAGUUUACAAACCACAUUCUCCAUGGGAGGGGACAAAGAGAAACAAAAAAAAAUUAAACAAAAGCUUAUAUGUUUGUAGCCCAUUUCAGACCCAUAUCCAAGUAUUCAGAUAAAAUAACAUAAAUAUUCAGAUGAAAUACCGUAAACCUCAAAAGAAAAAAAAAAAAAAAAAAAAAAACUAAAAUUAUAUAUAUAUAUAUAUAUAUAUAUAUAUAUAUAUAUAUAUAUAUAUAUAUAUAAUAUAUAUAUNNNNNNNNNNNNNNNNNNNNUAUGUAUAUAUAAAUGAUAUGUGAAAUAGUGCUAUAAGCUGAAGCAGUUAGAUAUAAUUGAGCUGAAUCACAAAUAAAUAGCCAAAAAAUUAUUUAGGAAAAAGAUAGAACCACAUGAUGGAUGCUUAGACAAAUCAGUUGAAGUGAAAAGCAUCAAAAUUUAUCAAAAUAUUGGACAAAUAGAAAAAAAAUUUUGAGAUAGCCAAAAUUUGCAUGUAAGUAUUAAACACUUUGUAAAGAGAAUGAAAUAGCACCGUCACUCUUGUGAAGAGUGCAAAAUAUAAUAGUGUGGCUUUUCGCUUUCUAAAAACUCACCUGCACCUGUAUGAGCAGCAAUACACCAACGUAGAAUUUUAGCUAAUAAAAUAUAUAUAGUUGUCGGUGCAUAACUGCUCCAUGACAAUAUAGAAGAUAAAACCUCCAGAUAGUUGAUGAAUACAAUAAAGUUGAAUAGUUGAAGAAAUUCGUAUAUGAUGGCUAUAUAUUUGACUAGUAUCAUAUCCUUGCAAUUGCAUAUAUCGUAGUUCAAUAAAAUAAAAUAUGAAAUCUACAGUGAGGCAAUAUAAGAAGAGGUAUGAACAGCAACUAUCCCCCGUAGAUAGUAUCAAAAGAUCAAUAUGCCCUCCAGUUGAUCCAGAAAAGAAGAAAAUGAUGCCGCAUGCAAGCAAGUUAUAGUAGCCCUACAUUGUUGAGUCCAAGAUGAAAAUGAUAAUCUUUUGGCAGGAAUAAAUAAAGUAAAGACGUUCCAUUGAAAGGAGCAGACAUUAAAUAUUAAAGAAUUGAAAAAGUAUAUAACAAACAGGAACCGAUACACAACUGUAGAACAUAACCGUGGCAUAUCAGACCGCAGUGACAAUUGUAACAGAAGGAAAACGCUUGAAAAGGUUAAGUAGAUAAAUCCCUGCAUAAAGAAGAAAAGAACAGGUUAGAGUAAUCAAUUUUCUUUUCCUGUUGUUUUCUUCCAUUUUUGUUUCUUUUUUUUAUUUUCCAUUCUCUCCGUGAAUGUGAAACUUUUGGUGCUUUUUUUUAUUUUUUGUUUUUUCCAUGAACUAUUUUUUUUCAGAUUUGUUUGAAUCCACUCAUGAACUUGUUGAUGGCCACUUUGACAAUUCAUAACCGUUGCAUCCAUAUACGACCCAGUAAAACGAACUCAAUAAAGAUCUCAAAAGAGAUCAACUUAUGUAGGAUAAAAAACCGUCAAGUGACGUAUGUAUGUUGAUCAUACAGGUGUUGCUGUAAACUCCAUAUAGAAAGUCUCAGCAAAUGGAUGCAGAAUUGUUGUAAAACAGUUGAAAUAUUUAAGAAGAUGAAAUCCUUGCAAAAACAAAAAAAAAAAAAAAAAAAGAAAAAAAGGAAAAAAAAAAGAGAGAGUAAGAAUAAUCAAUUCUUUUCUCCUGUUGUUUGCUUCUUCUUCUUUUUUAUUUUUUAUUUUUCUUUUUAUUUAUCAUCUUCUCCAUGAAUUUCAAAUUUUUUAUUUUAUUUAUUUAUUUAUUUAUUUUUUUCAUUGAAGUACGCUUUUUUCAGAUUUCCUCGAAACCACUCUUGAGCUUGGGCACUCAGACAAUUCCAUUAAUUAGUACCAUCAAUGAUAGGUUAAUAAAAAUAACAAAUCUACCACCUUCCAGCUUAAUGAUAAGUGGGCAUAGCAUUCUUCAUAAUCUCCAGGUCAGCUAAUUUUCCAACCCAGACUAAGCAAUGGACCCCACCUCGAGAUAGAUAAAAACAAAUUCCUUUUUUGAGGAAAAAAAUAAUUCAUAAUUCACAAAAUACCAAUGCGUGCCUUGCUGGCAUCUCCAGACGUUACCAGAGAGCGCCGUUUUGGUAAAUCUCCAUAAAACUCAGUCCAUUUAAUCCACAUCAACCAGUCUUUUUCAAAACCGCUCUCCCUCUGUACCCUCUCGCUCCUGUUUUCUUCUUUCCCUUCCUCCUCUCCUUCCAAUCAUUCCGCGGCACAUGCGAAACCGGAGCGCAGGAAUUCGCAAUCCGCCACCCGUUUCUUUCCCACGUACGAAUUCCUCCUCCUUUCUAUAUUUCCCCAGAACCCUCUUCCGUUAAAUCCCCAAAGCCUUCUUAUCUUUGUACCUAAAAAAAAGGUUCUUCUUAUCUUCCACUCACCGCGGCCUUUAUGUGAUGGAAUCGUCUCCUUCUUUUGCCACGCUCGCUCAGGAGGCGCUUGUGGAUUCCGAUUUCGAUUCGCCGAACUCUAGGCGGCUCUUCGAUUUCCAGAAUUCUCUCACCUGCAUUAAGGUCACCCCGCCAUUCCGAGACUAUCCCAAGCUCAGAUCUCCCAGUAGGAUGGGGCUCGAGCCGAAACCUGAUUUCAAGAUCGUGGAAGGCGAUUACGGUUAUAUUCUUGAAGAUGUUCCCCACCUUACCGAUUAUCUCCCCGAUCUGCCUGUGAGUGUCCUUUAGAUUUCCGUCUUCUAAUCUUGCUUCUGAGCUGAGAUGAGAAGUCGGUGUUUUGUAUCUUGCUUGAUUGCUCGAGGUCAUUUUGGUUUCUUCUUUUAUGGCUUUUCUUGAUGUCAAGUUAGGGUUUUGUUGUGGUAACUUACUUUUGAUGAGGACAUAGAUAUUUGAGCAGGUCUAUGAAUAUAAUGGUUUCUUGGGCUAGAAAAGAUUGGGUGUUUGUCAGUUUAAGCUGUAAAUCAGUUGUAAAAAUUGGAAAUGGUCCUCUAGGGUCGAUCUUGAUUCGUUAUAAGUUAGUUUGAUUGAUUAAUUCUGUCAUGAUGAAGAGUUGAGGAAGACCACAAGUUCUCAGGUGGUAGAGGUGCACAGAGCUUGUAAUUUUGCCAUAAAAUACCGUGCAGAGGAGCUAUUGUUCUUAAAGAUAAUACUUCGAUUUUUUUUUUUUAAAAAUUUCUUCUAGUGGUAUUGAUAACUCUUUUCCAUGUGACGCCUUAGAAUCUAGUCCAUCAGGUUAGGUUAAGCGGUAAAUUGGUUGAAAAAUUGGAAGUGGUUCUCUAGGAGUCGAUCUUGAUUCGUUAUGAGUUAGUUUGAUUGAUUAAUUCUCUCAUGAUGAAGAUCACAAGCUCUCUGGCGGUAGAUUGUGUGGAAUUUUGCCUAGUAUUGCGUAGAAUAUUGUGCAGAGCAGCUAUUGCUGUCAAAGAUAGUUCUUUGAAUUUUUUUAUUUUUUUUAAAAUUUUUAUUUACCUAAUGGUAUUGAUAACUGUUUUCCAUAUGACGCCUUAGAAUCUAGUUCAUCAGGUUAGCUUUUCCCAUAUCACAGCUUCUGGGUUAGUUCCCGCUUGGCGUAGGUAGUCAUUUUACAGGCAAGAUGGUGAAUUUUAUGUCACGGGACGUGUUACUUUAUGACCGAAUAACCAAAGACGAUUGCUAAAUCUAGCAGGCCAUGAAAGUACCAAAGAAGGCCGGAACUGGGUGGUGGUAUCUCAAGUGAUCUAUCAUGGAUAUCAGAGGAUAUACAAGUAAUACGUAUUGGAUCUUUAAUAUAGGUCCAUGCUAAGGCACUGUGAACAAACAUAUCACAUGAUCUGUCCGGCAGGUACCCAGAACAAGGGGGCGUGUGUUGGUUGCAAGUACUGGGAAGGUUUUUGACAACCUAAAUGCAGUUUAGACACAUUGAAUACACAUCGUGGAAAAUAGGAGUGGAGAAAGGUAUGGAUUUGGGCAUUUAAUCACCUUAGUCCUUUUAGAUUAAGAAAGAAGAAAAAAGGAGAAUUGUGGCAAUUGCCCGUCCAUGUAAUAAACCAGAAUGUCCACCUAUUAUAAUGAAAUGCACCUGUCAUGAUUAAUUGCUUCAGAAGAUACAGAAUAACUCCCUAUAGAAUCCCUUCUAGUUGGACUUGGGUUUCAUAUCAGGUUUAUGAAGUUGAUGUCUUUCUUUCUCAUAAACUAAUUCUAGUUCCUCUGGUGACUUACUUGAAUAUGAUCAGAAAGUAACUUUUCAAUAGUAAUAAUUGGUUCAGAUAAUUCCUUUGCCUUAUAUGUUAGUUAACUGUUUUGCCAAAUUAGUUAGAGGCUUUCGUGUAGACUCAGAAAGAGGCUAACUUUGUCCAUGUUAGUGUACCUAACCAGUAUCACUAGCAUGCUCAUGGCAUGAAAUGUGACUCCUUUUUUUAUUUCUUUCUUGAAGUUACUCAUUGGAGUAUAAUUCAAGCGGGGGCAUUUAAUAUCUCUGUUUGUUGGCUUUGAUCUGUAUCCUGAAAAUAAUUUUGCAAAUUGUUCACUAAUUUUUGUGGCAGAACUUUCCAAAUCCGCUACAAGACAAUCCAUCUUAUUCAGCUGUCAAGUAUGCUCAUCUGUCCUAUCUUUUAUUGUAGAAUCUUCUUCUUGUAAUAUGUUGUCAGCUGCUGAUCACAUUUGCUUCCACAUAUUCGUCAAUAAUAACUGGGAAUUAUUUUCUAUUGUCAGGCAGUAUUUUGUUAAUGCGGAUGAUACUGUUCCUCAAAAGGUAAAUCCUUUGUGCCUCCUAUAUUAGUUAAUUUGACAUGAUAGUUCAUCUUAUUUUGCUUGUUUAAGUUGUGAUGAUAGACAAGGUGUUAUGGAAGUUUGUUGUUUGCAUAUAUAAACACUAUAAUAUCGAACCGGUAUUAGCAUGAUUGGGGUUCUAUAGUUAAUGUAUUUUAUUUUGUCAUCUGUUGUCUUGUAGAUUGUGGUUCAGAAAAAUAACCCAAGAGGGGUCCAUUUUCGACGUGCUGGGCCACGCCAGAGAGUAGGUUUCAGUGCAUGUUUUUCUGCAGUGAUUAAUGGUGAAAUGCCAACCAAUACUUGCUGAUGGGAAUUUUUUAAUUUUCCUCAGGUGUACUUUGAGUCAGAUGAUGUGCUUGCAUGCAUUGUAACUUGUGGAGGCCUUUGCCCUGGACUUAACACGGUAAUCAGGGAGUUGGUAUGUGGUUUGUCUGAUAUGUAUGGUGUCAGCAGAAUCCUUGGGAUAGAGGUGAGGAUAUAACUAGUGAGUUUUGUCUCAAAUGCCUUUACCUCUUAUCUAAUCUAUAAUAUUAGUUUGAACCCUUUUUUUUUUUGUCUUGAAUCUAUUUGCAUAUGUUUUCUAGUUGCUUAUAGUUUUCAUUGGUGCUCCUCAGGAACUUCUAGCAAGCAUAAUCAAUUAUAUUAUCUUGGUUGAUUAUACAGGCAGUCUGCCUGGGUGCUUGAAAUUAUUUAGUUGCCUAUGUCUGCAUAGACAAUUCUAAGGUGUUUGUCUAUAUUUCUGGGAAUCUGAUCUUGCCCACCUAGGCACCAUGUAGGGUUUCCUCAACUGCCUUGAUGUAUCAUCAUAAAUUGUCUAAUUAAUAAGACUGAUAAAUGUACAAAUGAAUCUAUUUGCAUAUGUUUUCUAGUUGCUCAUAGUUUUCAUUGGUGCUCCCCAGGAACUUCUAUCAAGUAUAAUCACCUAUAUUAUCUUGGUUGAUUAUACAGGCAGUCUGCCUUGGUGCUUGAAAUUAUUUAGUUGCCUAUGUCUGCCUAGACAAUUCUAAGGUGUUUCUCUAUAUUUCUGGGAAUCUGAUUAGUCAUUUUCUUGCCCACUUAGGCACCACGUAGGCUUUACUCAACUGCCUAGAUGUAUCAUCAUAAAUUGUCUAAUUACCUAGACUGAUAAAUGUACAAAUGAAUGGGACAGUAUAACAAUUAAUUAUGUAAAAAGUUACAUCUAAAAUAAUUUAUCAAUUAUCAUUAAAUUAUAUACUAUAAUUAUUUCGAGUUUGAUGGGAUGUUCACACAUCUGGACUCUUAAGGAAUAUGUUUGUUGGGUGGAGUUUUAGCUGUGGCAUUUAAGUCAUCUAUGGCAAUCUCCAUGGUAGGUCUUAUAUUACAUAUUUUAGGAUAGGAAGCACCAUACGUAAUGAUGAUUCAUCUAUAUGAUGUAAUUCUAGAUUUGUUGGUUACCAAAUCCAUCAUCUGGGUCAUUAACCUUUACAUAUGCAUGUCACAUAGCAAAAUUGCCCUAGAAAGAUAACAACUCUAAUAUUUGGUCUAGAACCUCGAAAGGUGUGCAGUUUAUUUGAAGGUUGAGUAAGGCAAAUUAAGUCAGACUGCUUUGAUGUUUCAAACCUUUUGGCUUUUGUAUAUAAAUUUGAUAUUUUCAUUGUGGCUGAUUUUAGUGAUACCUCUAUGCUUUUCUAAAAUGUGACAUGAUCAUAUGAUGUGCCACACCUAAGUAUAGGGAUCAAUGAGCUCUCUAUUUUAGGCAUUCUGCAGGAGGAUUCCUGAUCUGCCUCAAAUAAAUCUCUACUUGUAGAGUAGAUGGUGCCACUCACUGCCAUGAGGGACAUCAGUUGAAUUGGUUUGCCUGAAUUUAACACAUGGUUCAUUAUAAUUAAUUUUCUCCAUCCAAACAUAUUAUAUAGAAGACAGGCAAUUGUUGUUUGUAGCAAGGGUAGAUGACUUCCCCUUUUUUUUUUUGGGAGUUAUGCAUAUACACCCUAAGAAAUGUAGUCAAAAAGUAUUGGUCCAUACGAACCCCUAAAAAUUCACUUUGCGUAAGAACACAGAAAACUAUUUAACUCGUGCACUGGUCGGUUUGCAAUUCACUGUUAUGCAAACCUAACUAGCACUGGUUUAGGAGUUAAUCAGCGAGAUAACCUAUCUGUCUUGUGUUCCAAUCCUUACUAACCUAACUGAAGUGCAUAGGUGCCUUUCUUUUUCCUCAUCUAGUGCCUUCACUGGGCAUACUUUCUGGCUCCUACUUUUGCUGGCUACUUGGAAGCAUCUUCUUACCUAAGGAUUUCUUUGACGGUUAAGAUGGUCAUGUCAGUUGUUGCCACUGGAGAUCAUUGUUUAUCAGAAAGCAUUCCUUCUGGGCAUUAUUACUCAACCCUGGCUGCACUAACACAUGUAAUAGAUGUAUGGAUAUGCAAGAACAUACUAAAGUGAGGGGCAUUUAUGUAAAUAUCACUUUUUUUGGAGAAAAAUUGCAAUGUGCAUGACUUCUCGAGGGACGUUUGGACUCGUAGCCAACAUAUAGCUAUUUGACUAUUCCAUCAAGUAGGUCACUGUCUAGGACCAUUAUCAUAAUGGAAUGUUUCUUAUGAGCUCUGAAUUGUUGAACUUAAAUAGGUAAUUACUUAUACCAACUAAAUCUCUCAAUGCUGUUGCAUUUUGAUAUCAUAUUAUAUCUAUUUAGUGAUUACAU